This 1362-nucleotide long non-coding RNA is filed under the name Marmota monax (woodchuck). The record is from RNAcentral. Lineage: Eukaryota; Metazoa; Chordata; Mammalia; Rodentia; Sciuridae.
AGGGGGUAGGAAAGGACUGGGCAGGAGACUGGGCACAGUGUGUUCUGUGCUUGUGACAUCCAACACCUCACUGCUGUGUGUGCUCAGAAUGCACUGGCACCAGUAAAGUCCAAGUCCCUUAUUGUGGGAAUGCUAGAUUGUAUAAUAUUUUAACCUACCUAUUUAAUUAAAAUAGUAUUAAACUCAGUUGUAGGGACUGGGGUUGUGGCUCAGUGGUAGAGGGCUUGCCUUGUCCACACGAGGCACUGGGUUCUAUCUUUAUCACCACAUAAAAAUAAAUAAAUAAAAUAAAAGUGUUGUGUCCCUAUAGAACGAAAAAUAUUUAUUUAAAUAUUCAGUUUUAUAUAAACAGUAAUCAAGUCAUUAAGGAGUUAAGAAAAAUUUAAAGUAAGUAAAUUGAAUAAAAGUGUACAAAACUUAAAAGUUCUGGAAAUUUCCCUGUAUGCUCAUAAUAUCAAUUUGGUGCUAUCAAUCUUGAGAAUCCUGAGAACUAAGAGUAUAAACAGGCAAGUGUCCUUCAGUGUUUGGGGCACAGUUUUCCCUGACUCCCUGCACCUGGAAUGUCCAUGAAUUGAUCCUCCAUUGAGUGGUGACAGGCUGUGACAUAGAGAUGGUGGCCUGCUGCCCUCAGGGGCCUCUGGACUCAGGAUCCACCCUGACACCUGGGUUUGGAGAAGCCCCUCUGGGAGGAUGGGUCUCUAGUCUCAACAGGGAACCUACUCUCAGCUCACACUGAAGAGACGUCCCUUUGGGCCCAGGCAGGAGUGGAGGGCUGUGUCUCUCCUCCUGGCCACACAGGGGUGUGUGUGUGCCACUGGGCUGCUGGGUCCUCAGAACACUGCCUGGGGCUGGAGUGACAGUGCCAACUUUGCACUCAGCACUCUGACCUGACCACACCCAUUUAGGUCCAGUACCCAGCAGCCUCCCAGCUCCAGGGGUCACACAUGGACUUGCAGCUUCAUGGACACAACUGACAGCCUCUGGCAUCAGAGUCAAAACCACAAGGAACCCAUGUGCCUAAGUCCCUUCUCUUUCAGUUGAGCCUGGUCACCCUAGAGACCCACUGGCCCCUCCCCUCCAGGGUCCAGUAAAGUUAGUCUCACCCACUCUGAUAAACCCUGGUAAUGUGUGUCCAGGGGAGAGGGAUGAGCUGUGUCCACUGCUCAGGUUUCAUGUCCACACAGAGCAUGGUGAGCUGACCACGGGACUUUGAGAGUCUGCCUUGGACUUAGAAAUGCUGCCUGUUCUUUUCUUUCUAUGGGCAAUUUAGGAACACUUUUCUGAUCAACAAGGAACUUCUAAAAUAUUGUCAUCAAUUUCUGAAAUAAAAAAAUGAUCAGAAUGGAGGCUUUUAAAUAUUUU